This 2902-nucleotide ribosomal RNA is filed under the name Klebsiella pneumoniae. RNAcentral's name for it is "23S ribosomal RNA". It matches the Rfam family "Bacterial large subunit ribosomal RNA". Lineage: Bacteria; Pseudomonadati; Pseudomonadota; Gammaproteobacteria; Enterobacterales; Enterobacteriaceae. The record is from RNAcentral.
GGUUAAGCGACUAAGCGUACACGGUGGAUGCCCUGGCAGUCAGAGGCGAUGAAGGACGUGCUAAUCUGCGAAAAGCGUCGGUAAGGUGAUAUGAACCGUUAUAACCGGCGAUGUCCGAAUGGGGAAACCCAGUGCAAUUCGUUGCACUAUCGUUAACUGAAUACAUAGGUUAACGAGGCGAACCGGGGGAACUGAAACAUCUAAGUACCCCGAGGAAAAGAAAUCAACCGAGAUUCCCCCAGUAGCGGCGAGCGAACGGGGAGCAGCCCAGAGUCUGAAUCAGCUUGUGUGUUAGUGGAACGGUCUGGAAAGUCCGACGGUACAGGGUGAUAGUCCCGUACACCAAAAUGCACAGGCUGUGAACUCGAAGAGUAGGGCGGGACACGUGGUAUCCUGUCUGAAUAUGGGGGGACCAUCCUCCAAGGCUAAAUACUCCUGACUGACCGAUAGUGAACCAGUACCGUGAGGGAAAGGCGAAAAGAACCCCGGCGAGGGGAGUGAAAAAGAACCUGAAACCGUGUACGUACAAGCAGUGGGAGCACCUUCGGGUGUGACUGCGUACCUUUUGUAUAAUGGGUCAGCGACUUAUAUUCUGUAGCAAGGUUAACCGUAUAGGGGAGCCGCAGGGAAACCGAGUCUUAACUGGGCGUUAAGUUGCAGGGUAUAGACCCGAAACCCGGUGAUCUAGCCAUGGGCAGGUUGAAGGUUGGGUAACACUAACUGGAGGACCGAACCGACUAAUGUUGAAAAAUUAGCGGAUGACUUGUGGCUGGGGGUGAAAGGCCAAUCAAACCGGGAGAUAGCUGGUUCUCCCCGAAAGCUAUUUAGGUAGCGCCUCGUGAACUCAUCUUCGGGGGUAGAGCACUGUUUCGGCUAGGGGGUCAUCCCGACUUACCAACCCGAUGCAAACUACGAAUACCGAAGAAUGUUAUCACGGGAGACACACGGCGGGUGCUAACGUCCGUCGUGAAGAGGGAAACAACCCAGACCGCCAGCUAAGGUCCCAAAGUCAUGGUUAAGUGGGAAACGAUGUGGGAAGGCACAGACAGCCAGGAUGUUGGCUUAGAAGCAGCCAUCAUUUAAAGAAAGCGUAAUAGCUCACUGGUCGAGUCGGCCUGCGCGGAAGAUGUAACGGGGCUAAACCAUGCACCGAAGCUGCGGCAGCGACACUAUGUGUUGUUGGGUAGGGGAGCGUUCUGUAAGCCUGCGAAGGUGUGCUGUGAGGCAUGCUGGAGGUAUCAGAAGUGCGAAUGCUGACAUAAGUAACGAUAAAGCGGGUGAAAAGCCCGCUCGCCGGAAGACCAAGGGUUCCUGUCCAACGUUAAUCGGGGCAGGGUGAGUCGACCCCUAAGGCGAGGCCGAAAGGCGUAGUCGAUGGGAAACAGGUUAAUAUUCCUGUACUUGGUGUUACUGCGAAGGGGGGACGGAGAAGGCUAUGUUAGCCGGGCGACGGUUGUCCCGGUUUAAGCAUGUAGGCUGGUUAUCCAGGCNNNNNNNNNNAACCAAGGCUGAGGUGUGAUGACGAGGCACUACGGUGCUGAAGUAACAAAUGCCCUGCUUCCAGGAAAAGCCUCUAAGCAUCAGGUAACAUCAAAUCGUACCCCAAACCGACACAGGUGGUCAGGUAGAGAAUACCAAGGCGCUUGAGAGAACUCGGGUGAAGGAACUAGGCAAAAUGGUGCCGUAACUUCGGGAGAAGGCACGCUGGUGUGUAGGUGAAGCCCCUGCGGGUGGAGCUGAGACCAGUCGAAGAUACCAGCUGGCUGCAACUGUUUAUUAAAAACACAGCACUGUGCAAACACGAAAGUGGACGUAUACGGUGUGACGCCUGCCCGGUGCCGGAAGGUUAAUUGAUGGGGUUAUCCGUAAGGAGAAGCUCUUGAUCGAAGCCCCGGUAAACGGCGGCCGUAACUAUAACGGUCCUAAGGUAGCGAAAUUCCUUGUCGGGUAAGUUCCGACCUGCACGAAUGGCGUAAUGAUGGCCAGGCUGUCUCCACCCGAGACUCAGUGAAAUUGAACUCGCUGUGAAGAUGCAGUGUACCCGCGGCAAGACGGAAAGACCCCGUGAACCUUUACUAUAGCUUGACACUGAACAUUGAGCCUUGAUGUGUAGGAUAGGUGGGAGGCUUUGAAGCGUGGACGCCAGUCUGCGUGGAGCCAACCUUGAAAUACCACCCUUUAAUGUUUGAUGUUCUAACGUUGGCCCCUUACCGGGGUUGCGGACAGUGUCUGGUGGGUAGUUUGACUGGGGCGGUCUCCUCCCAAAGCGUAACGGAGGAGCACGAAGGUUAGCUAAUCCUGGUCGGACAUCAGGAGGUUAGUGCAAUGGCAUAAGCUAGCUUGACUGCGAGCGUGACGGCGCGAGCAGGUGCGAAAGCAGGUCAUAGUGAUCCGGUGGUUCUGAAUGGAAGGGCCAUCGCUCAACGGAUAAAAGGUACUCCGGGGAUAACAGGCUGAUACCGCCCAAGAGUUCAUAUCGACGGCGGUGUUUGGCACCUCGAUGUCGGCUCAUCACAUCCUGGGGCUGAAGUAGGUCCCAAGGGUAUGGCUGUUCGCCAUUUAAAGUGGUACGCGAGCUGGGUUUAGAACGUCGUGAGACAGUUCGGUCCCUAUCUGCCGUGGGCGCUGGAGAAUUGAGGGGGGCUGCUCCUAGUACGAGAGGACCGGAGUGGACGCAUCACUGGUGUUCGGGUUGUCAUGCCAAUGGCACUGCCCGGUAGCUAAAUGCGGAAGAGAUAAGUGCUGAAAGCAUCUAAGCACGAAACUUGCCCCGAGAUGAGUUCUCCCUGAGACUUUAAGUCUCCUGAAGGAACGUUGAAGACGACGACGUUGAUAGGCCGGGUGUGUAAGCGCAGCGAUGCGUUGAGCUAACCGGUACUAAUGAACCGUGAGGCUUAACCUU